This 383-nucleotide ribosomal RNA is filed under the name uncultured bacterium. RNAcentral describes it as "bacterial SSU rRNA". It matches the Rfam family "Archaeal small subunit ribosomal RNA", at positions 339 to 727 of the family's 1478-position model. The record is from RNAcentral.
AUGCGAAAACUUUACAAUGCACGAAAGUGUGAUAAGGGAACUCUUAGUGCUCACAUUGUGGGCUUUUGCCAAAGGUAAGGACUUUGGCGAAUAAGUGGUGGGUAAGACAGGUGCCAGCAGCCGCGGUAACCCCUGCGCCACUAGUGGGAACCACUUUUAUUGGGCCUAAAGCGUUUGUAGCCGGUUUAUUAAGUUCUUUGUGAAAUUGUACAGCUCAACUGUACAUCGUGCGGAGAAUACUGAUAGACUUGGAACCGGGAGGAGCCAGAAGUAUUCUAGGGGGAGCGGUAAAAUGUGAUAAUCCCUAGAGGACUAACUGUGGCGGAGGCGUCUGGCUAGAACGGAUUCGACGGUGAUGAACGAAAGCUGGGGGAGCAAAACGG